CAUGUGUUAUGUCCUUCCCGCCCUCGACAGAUAUUAUCAACACUUGAAUUACUCAAGUUUUUUUAAGUAGAUUUAAAAGUUACGAAUGCAUGUUGUAAACAGUAGCAUGUGAUCAUUUAUUAAUAAAGAACAAGGUAUUAUUGGAUUUACAAAACGCUUGGAUUGUUUGAUAGUUGCAUUUAAACUUGUAAGUAGACGUGAUAGACGUGAUAAAUAGAGAAAUUUAUCUGUAUAAUCUAACAAUUAAUUACACAUAUUCACAAUUUUUUUAAUAUUUUAAAUGCUGAGAUUAUGAAACAAAAAAUACAUUAAUUGGGCUAUCGUCUCGUUUUAAACAUGAAUAUUCAUGGUUAGUGGCAGUGAAGAACUAAUUACGAACAAAUGGAGAUGAUCCGUUAAAUCUAUAAGCAUUUUAAGUGUCGAUGUGUAACGUACGCGUAUCAAAUUUAAACAUAUGAGCAUGUUGAACAUUUUUAUGAGUAAAUGUGAAAUGGUACAUAAUAAGCUAUCUGAUUACCUGAAUUUGAAAUAUGUCAGUUUGAUAUCGAGAUACAUCAAAUUUCAUAGCUGAGGUUAAUUUAGCUCAUAUUCAUUUGUGAAUACUGACGUAUGUUUUAUAGGAGAGCAACUGAUAUGGUUUACUCGUUGCAGGCCCCUUUCUUGCCUUUUAUCACUUUCUUUUAUUUCAUUUGACCUUUAGUGGAUAGUUGUCUCUAUGGUUUUCACACAAAAUCUCGUUAUGUGUAGAUCUAUAAUUGGAAUAUGUAGUAUGUUUGCAAAUGAGUCCAAGUCAUUUGAUUAUAAACUACAUGUAGUAUAGCCCCUGACAUGACAACAGGUAAAACAUUUUAAACAAAAAAUCCAACAAACCUUUUUGUGAUAUAAAGAAAGAACAAUACAUAUGAUGGACAGUAAAUAACAAAACCAUAUGAUUGCUAUGCUCCUCACCCGAAACAGGUACAUAUUUGUAGUAAAAUUUUAUAUGACACAUAGUAUUUUAGUUAUUUUUUUGUUUAAACUGCCAACACAUUAUUAAAUAAGUUAUCUAAAGUAAAGAAUAUGAAAUUAUUAUAGAGAUCAAUAUGAUUAUUAUUGUUUAAUUGAUCGGGAGUAUUGGUAUGGAAUCAUAAAUUUGAAUAUGUCGAAUAUCAUAUAACUGAAAGUAUUUUUUUGAAUUUGUCAUAUACAAUGUAUAUUCAGAUGAAUGCUAUGUAUUUUUCAUAUCGGUUCGGGUAUCACCCCUGUAUUAGUCAGAGAUGUCAGUCGAGGGGUAACACCCCGGCCGAUAUAGAAAAGGACAUCGAUUAAAAUUUUAUUAUAUACCGUGUUAACUAGUCUUCGAACAGGCUUCCUAGCGUCAAGUAAGGCUGCAGAUAUGGGCUUUUCGCAUAGAAGGAUUAAAUGGUUUGUUUACGUUCGUUCGUCACACAGAUGCAAAACACUAUCAUAUUAAUGCUAAGUAUAUGAUAAACAUAAAAACAUAUUUAAUAUUGAUUUCAUUUGAAAGGCAUAUUGACGUUUAGAAUCCACUUGUUAAACGUUAAUUAUGUAAAUCUAUUUAUUUAUGGGGCUAUCAUAAAAAUCUAAAAAAAAUUUAGUCAUAAAAAAUUACACGCAAGUCGAAUGUAAUGGAAAUAAAAACACAUAUUUAAUCAUCACUUAUCAUUCUAUUUCAUUCAUUUUAUAGAAACCAUAAAGAUGUCUAUGAGAUCAAAAGACCCAGGAAAUCAAGGUAAAUUAACUGUGGUAUACAAGUGUUCAAUUGUCAUAGGAUGAUUGAUUUGUGUGAAUUUUUAUGUACGCUAUAAGAACCGAAGUGCAUAUUUAAAUGUUAAUAUGGAUACUCUAUGUAUUAUUCAAGACAUCCCCUUUCAAACAUACAAGACUACUUUUUAAAUACCUAAAGAUAAUUGGUAUUAAGAGAGAGAAGGACAGUUUCAAUGUAAAACUACUUUACUAGUAGUUUUUGUUUGUUAGAAGUGUAGUGUUUGAGAUACAUAUUUGCCACCAUAUUAUUUCUUUGUUUUUAAAUAUAUUUCAGAGAAACAGGAUUCUUCACCAACUGAUGUACAGAAUUUUAUGUGCAAAGUCUGCAGAAACUGUCUUAGUAAUUUGUUGUGGUUACCUUGUCGCCAUUUAUGUACUUGUCAGUCCUGUGGGGAACAAUUGAGAAAGUGUACAGAAUGCAAUACUUUAAUCAAAGCGACACUGAUUGUACGAUACAGUAGCUAACAUCAUAUAUAUUGAUAGAUAUUAGCUAUAUCAGAUGUAUGUGCUAGCUUGUAUUGAUUAUAUAACCAUAUUAUAUUUAAAUAAAAGUUUAAACGGUU
This 2330-nucleotide long non-coding RNA is filed under the name Mytilus galloprovincialis (Mediterranean mussel). Lineage: Eukaryota; Metazoa; Mollusca; Bivalvia; Mytilida; Mytilidae. The record is from RNAcentral.